GAUGAAGAACGUAGCGAAAUGCGAUAAGUAAUGUGAAUUGCAGAAUUCAGUGAAUCAUCGAAUCUUUGAACGCACCUUGCACUCCUUGGUAUUCCGAGGAGUACGCCUGUUCGAGUGUUAUGAAGCUCUCAAAACGCAAUUGGCUUAAAACCUGAUUGUUGUUUUGGAUUUGAACUUUGCCGUGUUAUAACGGCUGGUUUUAAAAGUAUUAGCUGGUACUAGAACGAAUUGGUUCUACUCAACGUGAUAAUUAUCUGAUCGUUGAGCACAUUCCUUUCACGAGGAAUGGCCAUAGUAAAUUCAAUGGACUGCUUCUAAUCUGGCUUUAAUUCUUUAUUGGAUUAACCACUUUUCAAAUCUGACCUCGAAUCAGGUGGGACUACCCGCUGAACUUAAGCAUAUCAAUAAGCGGAGGA
Molecule: unclassified non-coding RNA, 416 nt
Filed under: soil metagenome
Description: partial contains 5.8S ribosomal RNA, internal transcribed spacer 2, and large subunit ribosomal RNA
Rfam family: 5.8S ribosomal RNA (bases 1-120)
Source: RNAcentral